This 220-nucleotide long non-coding RNA is filed under the name Prunus persica (peach). RNAcentral describes it as "long non-coding RNA (PPER_LNC005305)". Lineage: Eukaryota; Viridiplantae; Streptophyta; Magnoliopsida; Rosales; Rosaceae. The record is from RNAcentral.
UGGAUUUCAUUCAAGACACACCAAAUGACUCGUCCCAUCAUAUUAUGAUGUUUUCCAAUUUGUCGAAUCAAUCCGAUAUCGAUUGUUCCAUGAAAUUUGACAAUUCAGGUUCGGACGAAGUUCAUUAUGAAAUAGAGUGGUUGGUGUAUUUCAAAGUUUUAGCCAUUGGAUUUCACUAAAAAGUCACUAAAUGACUCUUCCCAUCAUAUUAUGAUUUUUC